RNAcentral lists this transfer RNA (59 nucleotides) under Homoiodoris japonica. Its description in RNAcentral is "tRNA-Tyr". The record is from RNAcentral. Lineage: Eukaryota; Metazoa; Mollusca; Gastropoda; Nudibranchia; Dorididae.
UUAAUAGUAUUUUUACUAGUAAUAAAUUUUAUGGGGUUAGUUCCCUUCGUCUAUGGUCC